RNAcentral lists this ribosomal RNA (359 nucleotides) under uncultured bacterium. RNAcentral describes it as "bacterial SSU rRNA". It matches the Rfam family "Bacterial small subunit ribosomal RNA", at positions 43 to 386 of the family's 1533-position model. The record is from RNAcentral.
GGCCGCGGGAAUUCGAUUCAGGCCUAACACAUGCAAGUCGAGCGGUAGAGAGAAGCUUGCUUCUCUUGAGAGCGGCGGACGGGUGAGUAAUGCCUAGGAAUCUGCCUGGUAGUGGGGGAUAACGUUCGGAAACGGACGCUAAUACCGCAUACGUCCUACGGGAGAAAGCAGGGGACCUUCGGGCCUUGCGCUAUCAGAUGAGCCUAGGUCGGAUUAGCUAGUUGGUGAGGUAAUGGCUCACCAAGGCGACGAUCCGUAACUGGUCUGAGAGGAUGAUCAGUUACACUGGAACUGAGACACGGUCCAGACUCCUACGGGAGGCAGCAGUGGGGAAUAUUGGACAAUGGGCGAAAGCCUGA